GACGAACGCUGGCGGCGUGCUUAACACAUGCCAGUCGAACGGAAAGGCCUGCUUUCCCUUGUGGAUUGCGGGUACUCGAGUGGCGAACGGGUGAGUAACACGUGAGUGAUCUGCCCCCAACUUGGGUAUAAGCCUGGGAAACUGGGUCUAAUUCCCGAUAGGACUGCAGGGUGGUGCCUGUGGUGGAAAACGAUUUUCUAGUGGUUGGGGAUGAGCUCGCGGCCUAUCAGCUUGUUGGUGGGGUAAUGGCCUACCAAGGCGGCGACGGGUAGCCGGCCUGGGAGGGUGGACGGCAACAUUGGGACUGAGAUACGGCCCAGACUCCUACGGGAGGCAGCAGUGGGGAAUAUUGCACAAUGGGCGGAAGCCUGAUGCAGCGACGCCGCGUGGGGGAUGACGGCCUUCGGGUUGUAAACUCCUUUCGACCGCGAGGAAGCCACCUGGUUGGAAGGGUGGUGACGGUAGUGGUAGAAGAAGCACCGGCUAACUACGUG
RNAcentral lists this ribosomal RNA (494 nucleotides) under uncultured bacterium. RNAcentral's name for it is "partial 16S ribosomal RNA". It matches the Rfam family "Bacterial small subunit ribosomal RNA", at positions 28 to 507 of the family's 1533-position model. The record is from RNAcentral.